CCUACGGGUGGCAGCAGUGGGGGAUAUUGGACAAUGGGGGCAACCCUGAUCCAGCCAUGCCGCGUGUGUGAAGAAGGCCCUCGGGUUGUAAAGCACUUUCAGUGAGGAAGAACGCCUGGUGGUUAAUACCCAUCAGGAAAGACAUCACUCACAGAAGAAGCACCGGCUAACUCCGUGCCAGCAGCCGCGGUAAUACGGAGGGUGCGAGCGUUAAUCGGAAUUACUGGGCGUAAAGCGCGCGUAGGUGGCUUGAUAAGCCGGUUGUGAAAGCCCCGGGCUCAACCUGGGAACGGCAUCCGGAACUGUCAAGCUAGAGUGCAGGAGAGGAAGGUAGAAUUCCCGGUGUAGCGGUGAAAUGCGUAGAGAUCGGGAGGAAUACCAGUGGCGAAGGCGGCCUUCUGGACUGACACUGACACUGAGGUGCGAAAGCGUGGGUAGCAAACAGGAUUAGAUACCCGAGUAGUC
Molecule: ribosomal RNA, 465 nt
Filed under: Vreelandella stevensii
Lineage: Bacteria; Pseudomonadati; Pseudomonadota; Gammaproteobacteria; Oceanospirillales; Halomonadaceae
Description: partial 16S ribosomal RNA
Rfam family: Bacterial small subunit ribosomal RNA
Source: RNAcentral